This 909-nucleotide long non-coding RNA is filed under the name Nicotiana benthamiana. RNAcentral's name for it is "long non-coding RNA (NBEN_LNC029596)". The record is from RNAcentral. Lineage: Eukaryota; Viridiplantae; Streptophyta; Magnoliopsida; Solanales; Solanaceae.
UUUCUUUGCUAGGGAGAUUCUUUUGGUUUUUUCACCUUCGCAUUUCCCAAGGGCCAGUUAUUUUCUUAAAUUCAGACUGGUGAGGUGUCUUCAGUUAAAAGCUCUCAAAAGAAAGGGUAUAUACCAAAUUAUGCACACCCCUAGCUGCAAGCAUCAGUUAGCCUUAUGAGAUAUAGAAGAAAAACCAUAAAGAUGGAAUUUUUCCCAAUAUCUCGCAGACCCAUCUGAGCGGCCAUGCCAAGAUAGAGUUUUUUUUCCAGCUCAAUAGAAAAAUAUGUCUGAUUCAUCUUCCACAAAAUAAUAAUAAUAAUAAUCAUAGCUUCAUCGUACAUAAAAUGAAAGAGAGAGAGAGUAACAAGAAAUUGAGGCUCAGAUUUGUGUAAUAACCUCAGGUAAAAAGAGACUCCAACGACACCAUGGCUGCAAAAACCCACUGGGAGCAUGCGCCGCCAAGAUACGGGUCGGGUUAUCUCAAAAUGCCCCGAUUGAUUAAUAAGCUCAGAAGGGAAUGACAAAAUCAUCAUCGCCUCUUUAUAGCCGCCUAUUUUACUCACCACCACCGCUUCCACCAGCUCCGCCGGCAGCAUUGAAUGCUCCGGCGAAAGCAUUAAAAAAAGAAGAAAGAGAAAAACAAAGAGUGGAAGGGCUGUUACUAAUGCUAUUCUUAUACACUCGACCAAACGACCCCUUAAUAAAAUUGAUAAAAAGGGCUGUUGUUUGGAUUUUUAUAUGGAGAAAGUCAAUGACUAAUUGCAGAGAGAGAGGCGCAACCGCCCUUUCAGAAAGUCCUCAAAACUCUCUGUAGCCUCAUUCUUUCCUUUCUAAGCUUUUUGUCACGGGCUUAGAGUCCGGCGCAGCACACAAUCAAUGGCUAAUUGCAGAGAGAGAGGCGCAACCGCCCUUUCAGAA